UGAGCUGCUGGGUAGGGCCCAUCCCUCGGUGUCCUUGGAGGUGGGGGUCUCUUGGUGCUGUGUUAGGGGUCCUGAGUUCAUGUUCGCUGCUCCUCGAGGAGAUCCGUCUCCAUCGCUCGUCCGGCUGCAUCCCUUCAUAAAUCUUCCCCAAAAAAACAUCAGCACCUUCUCAGGCUGCCAUCUGUUUAUUUGGUUGGACUUGGAACUUGCUGAAAUGUCUUUCGAUGGAUGAAGCAACGGAGAGUAGAAGAACAGAGCCUGGCAGGCUGCUUGAGCUGUGCCAGGGAACCACCAAGCUUCCUGGUACCCCGUGUUGGCUGAGAGGCAAUGAGGUUAAGGAAAGCAUAACUGCCAUCAGGAAUUCUUGUAAAGAAAAUCUCCUGGAUGGAAUCUGGAGAUCUGAAGACAUAUUUCUGCUCUCCUGGCCACCUAUGAACAGGAUGAUGGCGUUACAGCUGCCUGCGCAUCCUUGGGUGGAUCUUCAGUGUUCCUGAGCAGAUUUCACCUGUACUAUUGGUCAAGCAGCAGCAUCCUGCCAGCAGCAGCGUUUGCAUCACCUUCCCCAGUCUUUCUUAGGACCACUUCGGUUUGGAAAAGCAUAAAGAAGGAAGCAGGGCAGGGAGCAGAGCGCGGAGGAAAGAUCCCAC
Molecule: long non-coding RNA, 647 nt
Filed under: Gallus gallus (chicken)
Lineage: Eukaryota; Metazoa; Chordata; Aves; Galliformes; Phasianidae
Description: lncRNA (ENSGALG00010029107.1)
Source: RNAcentral